RNAcentral lists this ribosomal RNA (1225 nucleotides) under metagenome. Its description in RNAcentral is "bacterial LSU rRNA". It matches the Rfam family "Bacterial large subunit ribosomal RNA", at positions 1572 to 2806 of the family's 2925-position model. The record is from RNAcentral.
AGACGCUACGGCGUUGAAGCAGUGUAUGUCAGACUUCCAAGAAAAGCUCGCAAUGUCCGAAAUAAAAUAAUGCCUGUACCAUAACCGACACAGGUGGGUAGGUAGAGUAUACUAAGGGGCGCGAGAUAACUCUCUCUAAGGAACUCGGCAAAAUAACUCCGUAACUUCGGGAGAAGGAGUGCCUUAUUUUAAGGUUGCAAUAACAAGAUCCAAGCAACUGUUUACCAAAAACACAGGUCUCCGCUAAGUCGUAAGACGAUGUAUGGGGGCUGACGCCUGCCCAGUGCCAGAAGGUUAAAGAAGUUGGUUAGCUAUUGCGAAGCUGAUGACUGAAGCCCUGGUGAACGGCGGCCGUAACGAUAACGGUCCUAAGGUAGCGAAAUUCCUUGUCGGGUAAGUUCCGACCCGCACGAAAGGCGUAAUGAUUUGGAUACUGUCUCGGAGAGGGGCUCGGUGAAAUAGACUUGUCUGUGAAGAUGCGGACUACCUGCACCUGGACAGAAAGACCCUAUGAAGCUUUACUGUAACUUGAAAUUGAAAUUGGACUUUAUUUGCGCAGUAUAGGUGGGAGGCGUUUGAAGAUAUUCUUGCGGGAAUGUUGGAGCCAUUAGUGAGAUACCACUCUUGUAAUGUUAGAUUUCUAACUUUGUACCAUAAUCUGGUCAAAGAACAGUUUCAGGCGGGCAGUUUGACUGGGGCGGUCGCCUCCCAAAUGGUAACGGAGGCGUACAAAGGUUUCCUCUGAACGUGUAGAAAUCGUAUCUAGAGUGUAAAGGCAUAAGGAAGCUUGACUGUGAGACCUACAAGUCAAGCAGGGACGAAAGUCGGUCUUAGUGAUCUGACGGUACUGAGUGGAAAGGCCGUCACUCAACGGAUAAAAGUUACUCUAGGAUAACAGGCUGAUCUCCCCCAAGGGUUCACAUCGACGGGGAGGUUUGGCACCUCGAUGUCGGCUCAUCGCAUCCUGGGGCGGUAGUACGUCCCAAGGGUUGGGCUGUUCGCCCAUGAAAGCGGUACGCGAGCUGGGUUCAGAACGUCGUGAGACAGUUCGGUCCAUAUCCGGUGUAGGCGUUAGAAUAUUGAGAGGAGCCUUCUUUAGUACGAGAGGACCGAGAGGGACAUACCUCUGGUUUACCAGUUAUCGUGCCAACGGUAAACGCUGGGUAGCUAUGUAUGGAGAGGAUAACCGCUGAAAGCAUCUAAGUGGGAAGCCCACCUCGAGAUG